GCCCAAGAUUGAAAGCUGGCGUCUUCGGCGUCCGCAUUGUAAUCUCAAGAAGUGUUUUCCGCUUCGGACCAAGCCUAAGUCCCCUGGAAAGGGGCAUCAUAGAGGGUGAUAAUCCCGUACAUGGCUUGGAGCGCCCGAGGCUUUGUGAUACGCUUUCUAAGAGUCGAGUUGUUUGGGAAUGCAGCUCAAAAUGGGUGGUAAAUGCCAUCUAAGGCUAAAUAUUGGGGAGAGACCGAUAGCGAACAAGUACAGUGAUGGAAAGAUGAAAAGAACUUUGAAAAGAGAGUUAAACAGUACGUGAAAUUGCCAAAAGGGAAGGGUAGGAGGUCAGAGAUGCGGCCUGGGAUUCAGCCUUGCUUUUGCUUGGUGUUUUUCCCAGAUUGCAGGCCAACGUCGGUUUUGGGCACUGGAGAAGGGUAGGAGGAACGUGGCACCUCUCGGGGUGUGUUAUAGCCUCCUACUGGAUACAGCGACCGAGACCGAGGACAGCAGCGUACUCGCAAGAGCGGGCCUUCGGGCACCUUUACGCUUAGGGCGUUGGCAUAAUGGCCCUCUACCACCCGUCUUGA
RNAcentral lists this ribosomal RNA (569 nucleotides) under uncultured Pseudozyma. RNAcentral describes it as "LSU rRNA". It matches the Rfam family "Eukaryotic large subunit ribosomal RNA", at positions 107 to 657 of the family's 3401-position model. The record is from RNAcentral. Lineage: Eukaryota; Fungi; Basidiomycota; Ustilaginomycetes; Ustilaginales; Ustilaginaceae.